RNAcentral lists this long non-coding RNA (349 nucleotides) under Helianthus annuus (common sunflower). RNAcentral describes it as "sRNA HanXRQr2_Chr03g0089081". Lineage: Eukaryota; Viridiplantae; Streptophyta; Magnoliopsida; Asterales; Asteraceae. The record is from RNAcentral.
UCAUCAAAUUGAAAAGGGAAUCAAGGGCUGAUUGUAUGCAUGAACCAAGGAUGAUGAUCCCUUAAGCAUUUCUAACAUCAACGUAGGAGCCAUGUCAACAUGGACACGAGCAUGGAAGGGCAAUGGGUCAACGGUAAAUACGGAAGCUAUGCAUGAACUCGGACGCACGAGGUAUUGCACGGAUUACCGCUACUACUACCGAAGAUAAGCAAGCGUUGAUCGAGUCACGGAGCAAGGGUUGUACGGAAAUAUGUAUUGUCUUGAAGCGUUAAUUUAAUGUGGUUAUUGUAAAUCCCUUUUGUAAAUGUUUAUCAUUUGUAUUUGAGCCUUCAAGUAAGUAAUGUGUCUA